Dalotia coriaria is the source of this 945-nucleotide long non-coding RNA. RefSeq lists it as uncharacterized. NCBI's taxonomy places the organism in Eukaryota, Metazoa, Arthropoda, Insecta, Coleoptera, Staphylinidae. The record is from RefSeq and is a predicted model, not a curated record. The transcript is spliced from 2 exons.
UGAAGAACCAGGUUUUUUUUGUUAUCAUAUUUCAACUUGUAUGCAACAUAUCCGACGUUGAGUGAUAUAAUCGCGUGUCAAAUGCACACUGUAUGAAAUUCACUAAUUAAAAGAUAACGGACGCCGGCGUUGUAAAUAUCGCGAUGUUUAUUCGAUUUUCGCUGCGUUAUCUAUGGUGUAUCAGUAGUGUUUCCUCGUCAGGCAUGUUCAGAUCGUAGAUUCCGCGCACGCCGUGCGCGCAUUAAGCCUUUUUCAGUUCAUUUACGGCGCGCGCGCGCACCUUUACCUUACAAAAGAAAACGCAGAAGCUGAAGCUUGAAGUAAUUCAAUAUGUUUUCAAGAUCCGAUGAUACCGUGUUGUAAUUCCGCAUGAAUGCAGGAUGUUACGAUCCAAUCGAAUGCACUUAACGCAAAGUGGUUUGUUAUCAUUGAAGUUGUAACCUCUGAGUGUUUUCGGGUUGUUAUCAACUCCACAACCACUGUGUCCUCGUUAGCGCCGGACCACAUUAAAGCGGUCUUCUUUACUCCUUCGGUUUUUACGAUAAGAACGCCCGCGGUGCCCACUUUAUCGAAACCUUUAAUACAUUUUCAGUUUCGUGUGCAUUAACGCCGCCAGCCUCUUCUUCUCCGACAUAAUAACCACAAACAACCGGCGACGAUAUGAUAUGAUACAAUAUAUGCUCUCGAGCAAAGUGAAAUCUUGGAACUGAAUGGAUCCCGGCGUGAACAGCAACAUAAUGAUGAGCCACUCGCCACCGCCAUCAAUUCACUACCUUUAUGUGUGUUUGUUUAUCCCUCGACAAUAAAAGUGCUUUCAGGAAACUGCAUAAAAGCUUUCGAUGAUAAGCUUUUUAAGUACACUUAACAUUUAUAUACAUCAGUAUAUAAUAUCACCAAGAGCAAGAAUGUAAUUCAAUAAAUACCUAAAUCAAUUCCAUAAAAAAA